ACCUACGGGAGGCAGCAGUCGAGAAUUUUUCACAAUGGGCGAAAGCCUGAUGGAGCGACGCCGCGUGGGGGAUGAAUGGCUUCGGCCCGUAAACCCCUGUCAUUCGGGAUCAAAUCUGCCAACCUAACACGUUGUCAGUUGAUAGUACUGAAAGAGGAAGGGACGGCUAACUCUGUGCCAGCAGCCGCGGUAAUACAGAGGUCCCAAGCGUUGUUCGGAUUUACUGGGCGUAAAGGGAGCGUAGGUGGCAGGCCAAGUCUAAUGUGAAAGCUCUGAGCUUAACUCAGAAAUGGCAUUGGAUACUGGUUUGCUUGAGGAUUGGAGGGGAGACUGGAAUACUUGGUGUAGCAGUGAAAUGCGUAGAUAUCAAGUGGAACACCAGUGGCGAAGGCGAGUCUCUGGACAAUUCCUGACACUGAUGCUCGAAAGCUAGGGGAGCAAACGGGAUUAGAUACCCCGGUAGG
Molecule: ribosomal RNA, 464 nt
Filed under: uncultured bacterium
Lineage: Bacteria
Description: bacterial SSU rRNA
Rfam family: Bacterial small subunit ribosomal RNA
Source: RNAcentral